GUGAAGAGGAGAUGACAGGUCCUGGUGUAGAGGAGAUGACAGGUCCUGGUUUAUAGAGGAGAUGACAGGUCCUGGUGAAGAGGAGAUGACAGGUCCUGGUGAAGAGGAGAUGACAGGUCCUGGUUUAUAGAGGAGAUGACAGGUCCUGGUGUAGAGGAGAUGACAGGUCCUGGUGUAGAGGAGAUGACAGGUCCUGGUGUAGAGGAGAUGACAGGUCCUGGUGUAGAGGAGAUGACAGGUCCUGGUGUAGAGGAGAUGACAGGUCCUGGUGAAGAGGAGAUGACAGGUCCUGGUGUAGAGGAGAUGACAGGUCCUGGUGAAGAGGAGAUGACAGGUCCUGGUUUGUAGAGGAGAUGACAGGUCCUGGUGAAGAGGAGAUGACAGGUCCUGGUGUAGAGGAGAUGACAGGUCCUGGUUUGUAGAGGAGAUGACAGGUCCUGGUGAAGAGGAGAUGACAGGUCCUGGUGUAGAGGAGAUGACAGGUCCUGGUGAAGAGGAGAUGACAGGUCCUGGUGUAGAGGAGAUGACAGGUCCUGGUGAAGAGGAGAUGACAGGUCCUGGUGAAGAGGAGAUGACAGGUCCUGGUUUAUAGAGGAGAUGACAGGUCCUGGUGAAGAGGAGAUGACAGGUCCUGGUGUAGAGGAGAUGACAGGUCCUGGUGAAGAGGAGAUGACAGGUCCUGGUGAAGAGGAGAUGACAGGUCCUGGUGUAGAGGAGAUGACAGGUCCUGGUUUAUAGAGGAGAUGACAGGUCCUGGUGAAGAGGAGAUGACAGGUCCUGGUGAAGAGGAGAUGACAGGUCCUGGUUUAUAGAGGAGAUGACAGGUCCUGGUGUAGAGGAGAUGACAGGUCCUGGUGUAGAGGAGAUGACAGGUCCUGGUGUAGAGGAGAUGACAGGUCCUGGUGAAGAGGAGAUGACAGGUCCUGGUGUAGAGGAGAUGACAGGUCCUGGUGAAGAGGAGAUGACAGGUCCUGGUGUAGAGGAGAUGACAGGUCCUGGUGUAGAGGAGAUGACAGGUCCUGGUGUAGAGGAGAUGACAGGUCCUGGUGAAGAGGAGAUGAC
Oncorhynchus keta (chum salmon) is the source of this 1062-nucleotide long non-coding RNA. RefSeq lists it as uncharacterized. The record is from RefSeq and is a predicted model, not a curated record. Lineage: Eukaryota; Metazoa; Chordata; Actinopteri; Salmoniformes; Salmonidae. The transcript has 5 exons.